RNAcentral lists this ribosomal RNA (541 nucleotides) under uncultured bacterium. RNAcentral's name for it is "bacterial SSU rRNA". It matches the Rfam family "Bacterial small subunit ribosomal RNA", at positions 355 to 896 of the family's 1533-position model. The record is from RNAcentral.
UGGGGAAUCUUGGACAAUGGGGGAAACCCUGAUCCAGCAAUGCCGCGUGCGUGAAGAAGGCCUGCGGGUUGUAAAGCACUUUUAGUAACGAAGAGGACUAUCUUCGGAUAGUCGGACGUUAGUUACAGAAACAGCACCGGCUAACUCCGUGCCAGCAGCCGCGGUAAUACGGAGGGUGCGAGCGUUGUUCGGAAUUAUUGGGCGUAAAGCGCGUGUAGGCGGCUCCUUAAGUCUGAUGUGAAAGCCCCGGGCUCAACCUGGGAAGUGCAUUGGAAACUGGGGAACUCGAAUACGGGAGAGGGUAGUGGAAUUCCUGGUGUAGGAGUGAAAUCCGUAGAUAUCAGGAGGAACACCGGUGGCGAAGGCGGCUACCUGGACCGAUAUUGACGCUGAGACGCGAAAGCGUGGGGAGCAAACAGGAUUAGAUACCCUGGUAGUCCACGCCGUAAACGAUGAGAACUAGGUGUUGCGGGUAUUGACCCCUGCAGUGCCGCAGCUAACGCAUUAAGUUCUCCGCCUGGGAAGUACGGUCGCAAGACUA